This 448-nucleotide long non-coding RNA is filed under the name Chelonoidis abingdonii (Abingdon island giant tortoise). RNAcentral describes it as "lncRNA (ENSCABG00000000445.1)". The record is from RNAcentral. Lineage: Eukaryota; Metazoa; Chordata; Testudines; Testudinidae.
CCUGCACUCCCCCUCUAUUCUCUUCCAUCUGGGGGCGGUACCUGUUGGGUGGGCAGGGCCUUGCUGCUCUGACUCCGCCCCCUUUGCUCCUCCCCUCGCAGGCUGCACAGCUUCGCCACCACCAUCCGCCAGGCAGUGCUGGCCUCCCUGGACAAUGAGGCGACCCACACGCCGGACAUCGGGGGCCAGGGCACCACGUCGGGGGCCGUCCAGUCCAUCCUGCGUUACGUCCGCACGGCCGGCGGCUGGAGCCAGUGCAGCUAGGGCCAGGGGGAGGACCCCACUCUCAGGCCAAGGCCAAGGGGCUGCACAGGCCGGUGCCCGCCAGCCAGGCGAUCCAUGGGGCGAGCCCAUAGCCCCCCGCCCCCCUGUCCAUGUCACUGCUGCUGUGUGCGUUGCUGUGGGGCCAGCGCCCCCCAUGGGGAGUAAAUGUCUGUCUGUCUGUCUG